This is a long non-coding RNA of Felis catus (domestic cat), 9187 nucleotides long. RefSeq lists it as uncharacterized. The record is from RefSeq and is a predicted model, not a curated record. The transcript has 8 exons. Lineage: Eukaryota; Metazoa; Chordata; Mammalia; Carnivora; Felidae.
CUCUCCCCUGAUGACACUCACAUGCUCUCUCUCUCUCUGUCUUUCAAAAUAAAUCAAUAAACAUUAAAAAAGAAAAGAAAAUUCCCUUAAGGUUCUAUAUGAAAUGUAAUUCUGGAUUUCCUUGAGCCUGAUUUCUCCAUGUUAUAUGUGGAAAGAAGUUAGCAGUUAUAGCAGUUGGUUUUCAAAGGAGCAAAUGGAAGAGUACAUUCUUUCACAGAAGCUUUAUAGGUGGAAGGGGCCUUCAGAAUCCUCUGAAUGUAAGUGAGGCUUACUGUUCACGUGAAGAAACUGUUUUCUCCAGAGUCACAAAACUAGUUAAUGGCAGAGAAGGGAUUAGAGGCCAGCUCUUUUGAUUUCUGGGCCAAUAUUCCUUUUCCUCAGUAGAAGAUUAGAAACCUCUUAUUUCUUGUCUAAGUCUUCUGAAUAGCCAGCUGAGGCCAUGUAAAUUAUAUGCUGGAUAAAACAUAGGCUGACUUGAAAGGACACCUUUCCUUACAAGGUGGUGGGAGACAGGUCAGUGGGAUUGAGUGUGUUUUUAUUGUAGUCUUUCCAUGCCCAGUUGCUGACUGUCACAGGCUAGCCCAGAAGGAUGGGCAGGAUUAAAGGAUCUAUAGCUAGUCCCUCCCGGGCCAUCAUAUAACCACAGGUGUGGUUUUUCUUUUACUGUAGAUCAGCUACCAAGAGACUGCUCUGAGUGGAAACAACAUUCCCUUGAGGAGUUAGGGAAGGUGGGGAGGGCAGCUUAAGAUUCCAUGGAGUAAUAUGAGAAUUCUCUGCAAUAGUGGAGUCUGGCAAUACUUCUGUCUUUGCCCAUCCUUAGUCUGCUCUCAAUUCUGAAAAUGCUAAGUGAAGGAUGCAAAAGAAAGACUAUUCCUUACACUUACCCCUCAGUGUAUGUUUGUGCCUGUUUGGGAGAAGAGAGAGCGAUGCUAGGUUCGUGAAAUUCCUACAUAUUAGUAGAGAUUGGAGGGUUUAGCUAGGAGAAAGCGAAGAAUACAUCAAUGGAAUAGGGGAAAAGAAUAAAUAAGAACUAGAGCUAAAAAUAAUUUCAGGUUGCUAAUCAUUAUAAAGCUGAUUAAUUUAAAAGAAGUUAAAAGUGCAGAUAAGAUCCUGGGUAGCUACCGCAUCACAGAAUCUUUGAGACCACAGUUUCCAGUCAGUAGAUGUUACCAGAAGAGUUAAUUAGCCCAAACUGUGGCUGCUAGUUCUUUAGCUGUCUUCAACUUGAAGGUUUUUUUUAAUAAGUUUUAGAGCUAAUUAGGAUACACCUGGGACUCAUGGCUAAAGCCAAUAGAGUUUCCCCUGGGGGAGUUACUUUUUAUAUACCAAAAUUUAAAAAAAGGAAAAAUGUCAGAUGAAAACAUCAUCUUUAGAUUCAGGAAAAAAAAAUGGCAUAACCAUUUCAACUCAGCAGACCACAAGGCCAAACAAGCUUUGGCUAGAAUUGAAUGCUGUGUGCUUCUGUUCAGAGAAGAGGAUGCUUCCCAGAUGUGUCUGGGGGACUACCUGCCUCACUCUUAUUUAUCAUCAGCUCUCACACAGGAUGUGGUGUCGCUGGCUGGCAAUCUGGAAAUGGCCUGUUUAUUUUUACAGAUCUGUAGAAGAGACUCAAUAGUUGUAAAGGAUGGAAGAGUGCAAAGCAGCUUGGAACUCACAACAAAGGAAACCGGGACGAAAAAAAUUAGAUAAAACAACUGUGACCAUGGGAUCUGCUCCUUGUGCCUGUCGAACAAAGGUGCUAAAUGGAUUUUCUCAUGUCAAAGGAAAGCCAAUUCUUCCUCCCAACCCUGCAGCCCAUGAUUGUAGAACAUCCAGACACCAUUUUUUUUUUUUUUUUUUUUUUUUAAGUUCAGGGAACCUUGGUAUUCUUUUCAACACCAGGACUGGUUGGUUCCUUUAUGAGUUUCGUAAAGAAAAGAAACCUCCCCCAGAGCUGCUUAGGCUGGUGAUUCUCUGUCUCAACCAGGCCUUUCUGGAUAAUUUCCCUCAUGUUAAAACCCCGCAGCAGACUGGAGAAAGAGGAUUCUCCAAAUGCUUGGCUGGGAUAGUGUUGCUGCUAAGUUCCUGCUUCUCCUGAAGUGUUAUCCUGAGUGUAACAACUUUCUGUUCUCUCUCCUGAGAAGAGAUAUGCCUGAGUUCUUGCAGUACCCUGGGACAUAAUUCAUUAUGGCCAGAAUGGAUUUGCUGUACAUAGGAGUCAUACUUCUAACCUGCCAUGUCCAUAGGUAUGUGAGGAUCUAGGAUGAAGCUGAGAGAAUUCUAUCCUGCUGGUUCAUACUCAGAAGGUCUCUAAGCCCACUGAUGACAGGAAAAUCUUCAGUGGUUCCAGAGACAAGCUGCUGGAAAUCCUGCACAUUUAUCUUCUAGAAGGAAGUGAGCUGAGUAGGAUAGUGGUACCUUCAGAAGGUACCUACCCCAAAACUUGAAAGAACUCCAAAGUAAACCAUGUCCAUUUCUGGGACCCUAAAGUGGCUCAUGAAAGUCAGGGUCCACUUGCUUAAGGUUAGGUGAUUUCAAGCCUUGAGAUUUUAAGGGGAGAGUGAAGGUGGGAAAGGGGAUGGUGAAUAGAUUGUGAGAACUUAUCAAAUAAUAGGACGUCUCUUUAAUUCCAAGCAUCAUGUUCUAGUUCACAUUGUAUCUUUCAAUUAAAAAAAGGAAAAGGAAAUGUGUCUUUUUUAAAACAGAUAUUUUACUCUAUUAGUAUUCAGUACAUAAUAUAUGAGUGCACAUUCAUCAUUCAUUAGAUCUAGGUAGAUCACAACCUAAUUUACAAAUUCAAAAGCAUAAGUCGGAUCAACUCAAUUGCUCAAGGCCAUAUAUUCGUAAGCCAGGAGUAUGCACUGAAUAUUUCCUGUCCUUGGACUGCUGUACUGGGCAAUGCUGCUUUUCUAUAAGAAUUUGUUCAUAUGUUGAAUUUAACACAGUUUUGCUUAGCAGUUUAUAACACUUCACCUAUGUGCACUUGUGUAAUAUAAAGUAUAAAAUUAAGUCAAUGAUCUACAAAAUUCAGAGCAAAGUAAUCUAAAUCAUGUGGAUCUUCCUAGAGAUUCUGAUUUCUUUUUUUUUAAUUACACAAUUUUUUAAAUGUUUACUUAUUUUUGAGAGAGAGAGAGGGGGUGGGAGGGGCAGAAAGAGAGGGAGACACAGGAUCCGAAGCAAGCUCUAGGUUCUGAGCUGUCAGAAAAGUGCCUGACAUGGGGCUCGAACUCAGAACUGUGAACUAUGACUUGAACUGAAGUCGGACACUUAACCACACAGCAGCCCCAAUUUCUUUUUAACCUGAAAAAAUAGGUAAUUACUCGAUAGCCUUAGCUCUAAGAUAUAUCUGACAGGCUAUUUUUAUUUGUUUGGUUUUCAGAAAUCAUAUCCAUGCGUUCUGCCCUCUGUAGUUUUUAGCAAAAUGAAUCAAAGCCACUCUGUACCCAAAGAUAACACCAGUGUUGUCUUUUUUUUCCUCCUAAACAUUGCAGUGCUUUACUUAAAGUGCUAUGCAGUAAAUUUACAGGGAAAGAAAAAUUUUAUUAAAUUAUAACUGAGAGGAGCUGAUUUUUUUACAUAGCAAACAAAAAAUUCCUUCAUGAAAGGCUAUAAAACCCAUAUUAUUUACCAGAGAGACCUUUCCUGUCUCCCAGGUAAACACUUACAGUGUGUAGACUUGUGUAAAUACAUAUUUAGGAGUGGCUAAAUAUGGCGAGGUAUUUUUAAAGGUGUAUUUACAAAGCUGAAUACAUAUAUUGGCAUUUCGGUAUGUGGAAGUCGUGUAUGCUGUUCUGCCGUCUAUUCAAAAUUCUAGCAGGACUCUGGUAGAUACACCUUGGAUAAUGGGACUGAGUUUCAAAACAUUCAUCUUUAAUCACAAUUACUAAGGACAGGUCCUUAAAUCAUUUCAAAAGGGUGAAAAUUUUCAACUAAUGGAAUUCGGGUCCUUCUUGCCAGUUUGACUUGAGAAAAAUUGUUCCAGAAAUGUGGCAUCAUUAGCGGAAGCAGAUCUCCUUUCUGAACAUCUUUGUGCAUAAAAUAACUGCCAUUUCACAUUCGGUUUAGAAUGUUACCAAAUAGUCAAAGAUACAGUUCAUUUGAUGGAUGGGUCAGCCAGGAAAUUUUAGUUAAGAGGGGAAAUAUCAUCAAGAUAUUUUUAAAAUACUUUAAAACACAUGAAAAUGUAAGUGAUAAACGCUGUCUGUUGCUAAUUCAAUAGCAGGAAGCUUCCUAUGAUAAUGUAGUGAAGCUCUGUCCAGAGGAUUCCCAGUGUCUACGUUCCUUUUUUACUUCUUGGGAAAUGUGUCUGUGAGGAAAAGAAUGCGAUCGUAACAGAGGUUGUAGACGCAUGAAAGAGCACUACGACCUCAGCUUCUGUUGUCUGCUGCGCCUCAGAUUGAAUGAGGAUCCCAUUUGUGUAAAAGCCUGUUUUAAGAUAGACAAGUUGAGAGUCUAAAUAGCUCUAGAGCUUGGACUAUCUCAGGAGCCUUUGGCUAAGAAGUCUAAACAAUGCUGCUAUUUCAUUUUUAAUGCAGCUUUUUCUAAAUGCUCUCAAUAUCCUCCAGUGGAGUAAUUGAAAAUCUUAUUAUGAGAAACCAUGUGGGGACAAAGAUUAUUCAAUCAGUGAAAUGAUUUCUCCAGUAAAUUUGAACUGGGCUGAGUUUUUUAACUUUACAAAAAUAUACAUCAUAUGUACAGGUCUUUCCCUAGGUCCUAGCACCCCAGAUUUGGGUUAAACCUGCUGGGUUCUAGAACUUUAAAUUAAAACAAACAAAUAAAUAUGUAAAUAAGUAAAGUUUAUUUAAAAAUAUUCUGCCAGUGCUAUAAGGCCUCUGGAAUGUAGAAACUUCUCAUAUAUGUGCUGACACAAUUUUAGCUUUAACUGUGAAUGGUUGCACUCUCUACAUAUUACUUGUACCAGUAUUUUAGACUUGCAAAAAACAAGCUUUUCUGGCAAGAGACAAUCCUUGUUUCAGAUUUUUUUUUUAAAUAUACGAGCAGGCACAAACACCUUCACAUUACGAUUUUUAUUAGUGUUAUCCCAUCUUUAAUUUUAUUCUAUGGCUAAGUAUCUCAUUUCCAAGUAAACUUCCAUUAGGAACAGAAAUUGCUGACACCACAUCUACUGACAGAAAUGCCACAACAUAAAUUAUGCCAAGAAAAUGCCGCUUUGGGUGGGGGGCAUGGUAGGGGGAACUUAGUCAGAUAAAAAGCCACUGUGCUACUGCCCAGCCUGCAACUCUGUCCCGCUGACCACUGAUAAAAUUUAUCACAGGGCCACAUACGGGAAGGCAGCUUAAAGAGUCGUCGUCUGUGGUAAAACGUGUAACAGCAAAACAGCUAAUGGAGCAUUAUUACUUUAUUGGAAAGCAAUAUCUCUGGAGGCUUCACUUUUCUAGCUUUAGCAAGUGUAUGAAUUGUUCUAUAUGCAGAAGAGCUGAUAUGAAGGAAAAAAUGGGUUAUCAGAACUCUGAAUGAUGGCAAUGGGCAUUUCCAGGGCUCACCAGUUCACCACUCUGCCCAGUACACUUAAGGAGCAAAAGGGUAAAUGAGUCCCAACAAAGUUAAAAACCAAUCUGAAUUUUCACUCUUAAAAGAAUGCUGAUCUAUAAUGCUAAUGGUUUCUUUGUGAAGAAGCAGUCUUGUGUCUUGUAAAUUCCUGGCUAAUUGUUGUCAAAAUUCAGUCCUGGCCUUAGUAGAAAUGUAGUAAGUAGAAAGUAGAAAUAUCCAGAUUCCACUAGUAAAAGGAAUCUCAUUCACCAAGAUAUUUAAAAACUUUGUCAUUGGAUGGGGCUUAUUUUGGGGGGUUGGAAAGAAAGAGCUUGGCAUCUUUACAGUAACAAUUGAACGACCAGAAGGGUUACUAAUAAAAAUGAUUAGGUGGUGUGGUGCUUUAAAUGACAGGGAAGAGGGCAUUUCAAAGAGGUGAAGGAGACUAAUUGUUAUCACUUGCUGCUCGAAUGAGGGAGAGUGACGUCACCAAGAUGGCGACCGAGGUUGUUCUUGACUUCUCCUCUCCUCGCGAGAGGAACAAGUCACAAGUAUUUAGGAACGAGACAUCGCUAGAACUUGGGAGUGAGGCCGAAGCUCCCCCGGCCCUGCACCACAGAGACCCAGACAGACUCCGUUAGAAAGGCUGAUGAAAUCUGCAUACAACACAAAGCUGGAUGAGUUGGCUCUUAUGCUGGGUGACAAGCCAACAGCCUGCAGAAUCCUGAGCUUCGUGCUGAUGACAGGUAUUGAAACAGGCACUUACACACCUGUUAAUCUUCAAGGAGGUUUAAAAAAACGAACUCAUCCACUUGUUUAGUCAAAAAUGGGUACUAACAUUCUACCCAACUAAUGAAAGCCAUUUUGGAACCAUAGUAAUUGGGUAACAGAAGUAUAGCAGAAUGAAGGAUCAACAGUCUGAAGGUUAAGCGGUAAACCCCAGUCGUUCCAUUUACCAGUUGUGUGGCCUUGGGCACUGGAAUUAACGUAACAGAGCUCUCUAGCCACGAUCUGUUCUAUUUGUGAACAAUAAAAGAACAACAGUGAUAUUAAUUGCUGUGAUUCAGGUAUCACCAGUUCCUGUGUAAUUGAAGACCCCAACAACUUACUUGAUCAUUUCUUUGCUUGCUAACAUGUAAACCAAUGGUAAUCAAGGCAAGUGAGAGAAUAUGAAAGUUAAAUGUGAGACUUCUUAAUAACUGAUCAAAUGAAAAGAGGAACACACCUGACUAGAAAACUGUGUAAAUGAUGAUUUGAGGCUUUGCAUUUCACAAGAAUGAGAUAACUAAUAAGGAUAUAAUACCCUGAAAGCUCUGCCCUUCUUGAUAUAUUUCAUUAACUCUAAAGUCACUUCUUCCAGAAGUUUUAAUGCCAGUAAUUUCCCCUGACUCUGGUUAUUGAUCCAUUUGGGGAGCAUUUUUUUUUAGCAUGUAAGCAGUGGGUCCAGUGUAUGUUAUGUUUAUUUAUAGUUAUUGAUGUUUCUUUAAAUUAGCUUCCUAUAAUAUCUGCAAAAGAUGGAAAAGAUUGAAAAAGACUAGUUGACAACAGAUUACACAUGGCCUUGGAUGAGAUAUAAAAUGUUUGGACUUUAUCUAUAAUCUACCAGGAGGAGUUAUUGUAGAUUACUUUUACCUGGGUCCUGCACCCAAGUUUCUGAUUAACUGAUCUAGAGUGAGGUCUGAGCAUUGGUAUUAAAAAAAAUAGCUUCACAUCUACUGAUCAGGAUCCAAGAAAAAUGAUUUAAAUGAAGAGACUAUAAUGAAGGGACAAGUUGCAAAAGUGUGAGCAAGGUUAAUCCAACAAAUUCAGUAUUAAGGAGAAGGUGGCCAGAAAUUAGUAAUGUCUGGAGUCCAUUUGGCCUCCUGGUAGGAACUGUAAUCACAGAGGGACAAAACUGCUGACAAAGUUGUGAUUCCCCUGACACAAAAAACAAAACAAAACAAACAAACAAACAAACAACUAAGGAAAACAUAAUUUGACACUCCUCCUGUCCACCCGUUUUCUGUCAAUGCUUCCAUUGGUGAAAUCCUGAGAGAAACUACUGGGCAAGGGAACCCAGAUGAUGUGCUCUGUGGAGGUUAUCCUCCUGGGGCAUAGGACAGGGUUGAGAAGGAUGAAGAAUGUAUAGGAGGAGGCAAAUAGGAAAUAACAAUACAGGUGACUCUAUAGCUAAGUUUGAGAGUUGCCGCUGUAGAUAGUAGGGGGACCAGGGAGCUCAAAGGAUCACAUAAUACACAUAGUAAACUCUGAGAAUGGUUUGUCCCACACCUUCAUUUUCACACUUGAAACUGAGGCCAGAGAGUGACACUACACAUCCACCGUCAUAGAGUUAGGAAGCCUAAGAUUCAGGGCUACAAGGAUUCCACAUUAUCAAACACACAAAUUGGUAUGAUGAAAACAAUACUUAAGGAAAAUUAAUUUGGCAACAAUGUACCGAGUAUCUUUAAAGAUAAAAAUAUUAGAGGAGAAUACAAGUUUGGAAAGUAUUGGUAUGACUUUAAGGGUGAGAUUUUAGGAUUCUAAACUAAAUGGAAGUUGAGAGGGGGCACCUGGGUGACUCAGUCCGUCAAACAUCCAACUUCGGCUCAGGUCAUGAUCUCGUGGUUCAUGGGUUUGAGCCCUGUGUCAGGUUCUGUGCUGACAGCACAGAGCCUGGAGCCUGCUUCAGAUUCUGUGUCUCCCUCUCUUUCUUCCCCUAGCCUGCUCACACACACACACACUCUCUCUCAAAAAUAAACAUUAAAAAAAAUUAAACUAAAUGAAAGUUGAGAUGGAAAGGAGGAAACCAAUACUACAGAGCAUGCAAAGAAAGUUUUACAGACUUUUGUAAAUUGCCGUGUGGAUGAGAAAGGUGAAUGAAAAGAAUUUGGAAUCAGAUAGGAGUUGGAUAAUUCUAGUCCAGAACAAUAGGAGAGAGGUGGUAAUAGUGAAAUGGCACAAGAAUAGAAGCUGUUUCUCUAGGGAAGGAGUUUGGUUUUAGGUGGUUUGAAUAUAUGAGUUGAAUAGUCCAUUAUCAGUUGGUGAAAUGGGAACUGGAAUAUGUGGUUAGAUAUAAUGUAUACAGUAAAUGUCUCCAGUCUUAAGAUUUUGUAGUUAUUGAAAUACCUGUGCUUAUUUAUCAGGCAGAAAAGAUCCUAGAGCCAGGUUAAAAUUGUUACUUAUUAGGGUAAAAACACAGGCAUGCCCUAAUAUUUUUCAUCCCUAGUUUACUGGACUGAAUGACUUAUAUGUCCUUCGAUAAGUUUCAAGAAUAUUUUAUUCUAUCAUUUGAUAUUUAUACAUGUGUAGGUCCCUGCCAUCUAGAUAAAGGGGUUUCCAAGUAAAGAUAGUCAUUAUAAACAUUCUUAAAUUCUUCAGAAAAAUGUACUAUCAAGGGAGAAGUGUUUCUAUCAUUUAGUCUCUGGGUAUAUUAAUUUAUUUUGCUAUCUGUCCUCCCAGCCCAAUAGGCUUAUUUGUUUAUCAUCCCUGAUACUCUGUUCAAACCAUGUGAAAGUAAUUUGUUUCUCAAAACAAUAAAAUUACACCUACUACUAACUUUUAUGUUUUGCUUUACAAAUCCUCCCUUACAGUUCACGUGGUGGGUGACCCUUUAAUAAGAAUGUUUGGGGGCGCCUGGGUGGCUCAGUCAGUUAAGCGUCCAACUUCAGCUAAGAUCAUGAUCACACAGUUUGUGAGUUUGAGUCCCACAUUGGACUCUGUGCUGACAGCCCAGAGCCUG